Molecule: ribosomal RNA, 1741 nt
Filed under: Salmonella enterica subsp. enterica serovar Paratyphi B var. L(+) tartrate +
Lineage: Bacteria; Pseudomonadati; Pseudomonadota; Gammaproteobacteria; Enterobacterales; Enterobacteriaceae
Description: partial 23S ribosomal RNA
Rfam family: Bacterial large subunit ribosomal RNA
Source: RNAcentral
GGGACACGUGGUAUCCUGUCUGAAUAUGGGGGGACCAUCCUCCAAGGCUAAAUACUCCUGACUGACCGAUAGUGAACCAGUACCGUGAGGGAAAGGCGAAAAGAACCCCGGCGAGGGGAGUGAAAAAGAACCUGAAACCGUGUACGUACAAGCAGUGGGAGCACAGGUUUACCUGUGUGACUGCGUACCUUUUGUAUAAUGGGUCAGCGACUUAUAUUCUGUAGCAAGGUUAACCGUAUAGGGGAGCCGGAGGGAAACCGAGUCUUAAUUGGGCGUUAAGUUGCAGGGUAUAGACCCGAAACCCGGUGAUCUAGCCAUGGGCAGGUUGAAGGUUGGGUAACACUAACUGGAGGACCGAACCGACUAAUGUUGAAAAAUUAGCGGAUGACCUGUGGCUGGGGGUGAAAGGCCAAUCAAACCGGGAGAUAGCUGGUUCUCCCCGAAAGCUAUUUAGGUAGCGCCUCGUGAAUUCAUCUCCGGGGGUAGAGCACUGUUUCGGCUAGGGGGCCAUCCCGGCUUACCAACCCGAUGCAAACUGCGAAUACCGGAGAAUGUUAUCACGGGAGACACACGGCGGGUGCUAACGUCCGUCGUGAAGAGGGAAACAACCCAGACCGCCAGCUAAGGUCCCAAAGUCAUGGUUAAGUGGGAAACGAUGUGGGAAGGCCCAGACAGCCAGGAUGUUGGCUUAGAAGCAGCCAUCAUUUAAAGAAAGCGUAAUAGCUCACUGGUCGAGUCGGCCUGCGCGGAAGAUGUAACGGGGCUAAACCAUGCACCGAAGCUGCGGCAGCGACGCUUAUGCGUUGUUGGGUAGGGGAGCGUUCUGUAAGCCUGUGAAGGUGUGUCGUGAGGCAUGCUGGAGGUAUCAGAAGUGCGAAUGCUGACAUAAGUAACGAUAAAGCGGGUGAAAAGCCCGCUCGCCGGAAGACCAAGGGUUCCUGUCCAACGUUAAUCGGGGCAGGGUGAGUCGACCCCUAAGGCGAGGCCGAAAGGCGUAGUCGAUGGGAAACGGGUUAAUAUUCCCGUACUUGGUGUUACUGCGAAGGGGGGACGGAGAAGGCUAUGUUGGCCGGGCGACGGUUGUCCCGGUUUAAGCGUGUAGGUGUGUGUUCCAGGUAAAUCCGGUUCACUUUAACACUGAGGCGUGACGACGAGGCACUACGGUGCUGAAGCAACAAAUGCCCUGCUUCCAGGAAAAGCCUCUAAGCAUCAGGUAACAUCAAAUCGUACCCCAAACCGACACAGGUGGUCAGGUAGAGAAUACCAAGGCGCUUGAGAGAACUCGGGUGAAGGAACUAGGCAAAAUGGUGCCGUAACUUCGGGAGAAGGCACGCUGACACGUAGGUGAAGUGAUUUACUCAUGGAGCUGAAGUCAGUCGAAGAUACCAGCUGGCUGCAACUGUUUAUUAAAAACACAGCACUGUGCAAACACGAAAGUGGACGUAUACGGUGUGACGCCUGCCCGGUGCCGGAAGGUUAAUUGAUGGGGUCAGCGCAAGCGAAGCUCCUGAUCGAAGCCCCGGUAAACGGCGGCCGUAACUAUAACGGUCCUAAGGUAGCGAAAUUCCUUGUCGGGUAAGUUCCGACCUGCACGAAUGGCGUAAUGAUGGCCAGGCUGUCUCCACCCGAGACUCAGUGAAAUUGAACUCGCUGUGAAGAUGCAGUGUACCCGCGGCAAGACGGAAAGACCCCGUGAACCUUUACUAUAGCUUGACACUGAACAUUGAGCCUUGAUGUGUAG